RNAcentral lists this ribosomal RNA (446 nucleotides) under uncultured organism. RNAcentral's name for it is "partial 16S ribosomal RNA". It matches the Rfam family "Bacterial small subunit ribosomal RNA", at positions 334 to 797 of the family's 1533-position model. The record is from RNAcentral.
CACUCCUACGGGAGGCAGCAGUGGGGAAUCUUGCGCAAUGGGCGAAAGCCUGACGCAGCCAUGCCGCGUGAAUGAUGAAGGUCUUAGGAUUGUAAAAUUCUUUCACCGGGGACGAUAAUGACGGUACCCGGAGAAGAAGCCCCGGCUAACUUCGUGCCAGCAGCCGCGGUAAUACGAAGGGGGCUAGCGUUGCUCGGAAUUACUGGGCGUAAAGGGAGCGUAGGCGGACAUUUAAGUCAGGGGUGAAAUCCCGGGGCUUAACCUCGGAAUUGCCUUUGAUACUGGGUGUCUUGAGUAUGAGAGAGGUGUGUGGAACUCCGAGUGUAGAGGUGAAAUUCGUAGAUAUUCGGAAGAACACCAGUGGCGAAGGCGACACACUGGCUCAUUACUGACGCUGAGGCUCGAAAGCGUGGGGAGCAAACAGGAUUAGAAACCCUUGUAGUCCC